Molecule: ribosomal RNA, 253 nt
Filed under: uncultured bacterium
Lineage: Bacteria
Description: partial 16S ribosomal RNA
Rfam family: Bacterial small subunit ribosomal RNA
Source: RNAcentral
UACAUGGGGUGCAAACGUUGCUCGGAAUCAUUGGGCGUAAAGCGCGCGUAGGCGGUUACACAAGUUGGAUGUGAAAGCCCUCGGCUUAACUGAGGAAGUGCAUCCAAAACUGUGCAGCUAGAGUACUAAAGAGGGUCGCGGAAUUCUCGGUGUAGAGGUGAAAUUCGUAGAUAUCGGGAGGAACACCGGUGGCGAAGGCGGCGACCUGGGUAGAUACUGACGCUGAGGCGCGAAAGCGUGGGGAGCAAACAGG